GUGGGGAAUUUUGGACAAUGGGCGCAAGCCUGAUCCAGCAAUGCCGCGUGCAGGAAGAAGGCCUUCGGGUUGUAAACUGCUUUUGUACGGAACGAAACGGUCCUGGUUAAUACCUGGGGCUAAUGACGGUACCGUAAGAAUAAGCACCGGCUAACUACGUGCCAGCAGCCGCGGUAAUACGUAGGGUGCAAGCGUUAAUCGGAAUUGCUGGGCGUAAAGCGUGCGCAGGCGGUUUUGUAAGACAGGCGUGAAAUCCCCGGGCUCAACCUGGGAAUUGCGCUUGUGACUGCAGUGCUGGAGUGCGGCAGAGGGGGAUGGAAUUCCGCGUGUAGCAGUGAAAUGCGUAGAUAUGCGGAGGAACACCGAUGGCGAAGGCAAUCCCCUGGGCCUGCACUGACGCUCAUGCACGAAAGCGUGGGGAGCAAACAGGAUUAGAAACCCCAGUAGUCC
Molecule: ribosomal RNA, 450 nt
Filed under: uncultured bacterium
Lineage: Bacteria
Description: partial 16S ribosomal RNA
Rfam family: Bacterial small subunit ribosomal RNA
Source: RNAcentral